AGACUGUUGGUGGUGGGACACUCCCAAAGAAGAGCCUUGAAGUGUUCCCAAGCAUCAUAGAGGUUUUCAUCAGGCUUCUGUUUGAAGCUCACUAUCUCACUACAAAGUCU
This is a non-coding RNA of Capsicum annuum, 110 nucleotides long. The record is from Rfam. NCBI's taxonomy places the organism in Eukaryota, Viridiplantae, Streptophyta, Magnoliopsida, Solanales, Solanaceae.